RNAcentral lists this ribosomal RNA (487 nucleotides) under uncultured bacterium. RNAcentral's name for it is "bacterial SSU rRNA". It matches the Rfam family "Bacterial small subunit ribosomal RNA", at positions 501 to 991 of the family's 1533-position model. The record is from RNAcentral.
CUACGUGCCAGCAGCCGCGGUAAUACGGAAGGUCCAGGCGUUAUCCGGAUUUAUUGGGUUUAAAGGGAGCGUAGGCUGGAGAUUAAGUGUGUUGUGAAAUGUAGACGCUCAACGUCUGAAUUGCAGCGCAUACUGGUUUCCUUGAGUACGCACAACGUUGGCGGAAUUCGUCGUGUAGCGGUGAAAUGCUUAGAUAUGACGAAGAACUCCGAUUGCGAAGGCAGCUGACGGGAGCGCAACUGACGCUUAAGCUCGAAGGUGCGGGUAUCAAACAGGAUUAGAUACCCUGGUAGUCCGCACAGUAAACGAUGGAUGCCCGCUGUUGGUACCUGGUAUCAGCGGCUAAGCGAAAGCAUUAAGCAUCCCACCUGGGGAGUACGCCGGCAACGGUGAAACUCAAAGGAAUUGACGGGGGCCCGCACAAGCGGUGGAGCAUGUGGUUUAAUUCGACGCAACGCGAGGAACCUUACCAGAUCUUGACAUCCCG